This 498-nucleotide ribosomal RNA is filed under the name uncultured bacterium. RNAcentral's name for it is "partial 16S ribosomal RNA". It matches the Rfam family "Bacterial small subunit ribosomal RNA", at positions 30 to 523 of the family's 1533-position model. The record is from RNAcentral.
AUUGAACGCUGGCGGCAUGCCUUACACAUGCAAGUCGAACGGUAACAGGUCUUCGGAUGCUGACGAGUGGCGAACGGGUGAGUAAUACAUUGGAACGUGCCUAGUAGUGGGGGAUAACUACUCGAAAGAGUGGCUAAUACCGCAUGAGAUCUACGGAUGAAAGCAGGGGAUCGCAAGACCUUGUGCUACUAGAGCGGCCGAUGGCAGAUUAGGUAGUUGGUGGGAUAAAAGCUUACCAAGCCGACGAUCUGUAGCUGGUCUGAGAGGACGAUCAGCCACACUGGGACUGAGACACGGCCCAGACUCCUACGGGAGGCAGCAGUGGGGAAUUUUGGACAAUGGGCGCAAGCCUGAUCCAGCAAUGCCGCGUGCAGGAUGAAGGCCUUCGGGUUGUAAACUGCUUUUGUACGGAACGAAAAGCCCCGGGUUAAUACCCUGGGGUCAUGACGGUACCGUAAGAAUAAGCACCGGCUAACUUCGUGCCAGCAGCCGCCGUAA